Molecule: ribosomal RNA, 514 nt
Filed under: uncultured bacterium
Lineage: Bacteria
Description: partial 16S ribosomal RNA
Rfam family: Bacterial small subunit ribosomal RNA
Source: RNAcentral
GAUGAACGCUGGCGGCGUGCCUAAUACAUGCAUGUCGAGCGAACAGAUGAGAAACUUGCUUCUCUGAUGUUAGCGGCGGACGGGUGAGUAACACGUGGGUAACCUACCUAUAAGACUGGGAUAACUCCGGGAAACCGGGGCUAAUACCGGAUAAUAUUUUGAACCGCAUGGUUCAAUAGUGAAAGACGGUUUCGGCUGUCACUUAUAGAUGGACCCGCGCCGUAUUAGCUAGUUGGUAAGGUAACGGCUUACCAAGGCGACGAUACGUAGCCGACCUGUGAGGGUGAUCGGCCACACUGGAACUGAGACACGGUCCAGACGCCUACGGGAGGCAGCAGUAGGGAAUCUUCCGCAAUGGGCGAAAGCCUGACGGAGCAACGCCGCGUGAGUGAUGAAGGUCUUCGGAUCGUAAAACUCUGUUGUUAGGGAAGAACAAAUUUGUCAGUAACUGAACAAGUCUUGACGGUACCUAACCAGAAAGCCACGGCUAACUACGUGCCAGCCGCCGCCGUAA